GACGAACGCUGGCGGCGUGCUUAACACAUGCAAGUCGAACGGAAAGGCCCUUCGGGGUCCUCGAGUGGCGAACGGGUGAGUAACACGUGGGUGAUCUGCCCUGCACUUUGGGAUAAGCCUGGGAAACUGGGUCUAAUACCGAAUAGGACCACGCGCUUCAUGGUGUGUGGUGGAAAGCUUUUGCGGUGUGGGAUGGGCCCGCGGCCUAUCAGCUUGUUGGUGGGGUAAUGGCCUACCAAGGCGACGACGGGUAGCCGGCCUGAGAGGGUGACCGGCCACACUGGGACUGAGAUACGGCCCAGACUCCUACGGGAGGCAGCAGUGGGGAAUAUUGCACAAUGGGCGCAAGCCUGAUGCAGCGACGCCGCGUGAGGGAUGACGGCCUUCGAGUUGUAAACCUCUUUCAAUAGGGACGAAGCGCAAGUGACGGUACCUAUAGAAGAAGCACCGGCCAACUACGUG
This 462-nucleotide ribosomal RNA is filed under the name uncultured bacterium. Its description in RNAcentral is "partial 16S ribosomal RNA". It matches the Rfam family "Bacterial small subunit ribosomal RNA", at positions 28 to 507 of the family's 1533-position model. The record is from RNAcentral.